This is an RNA transcript of Triticum dicoccoides, 1231 nucleotides long. RefSeq lists it as uncharacterized. The record is from RefSeq and is a predicted model, not a curated record. Lineage: Eukaryota; Viridiplantae; Streptophyta; Magnoliopsida; Poales; Poaceae. The transcript is spliced from 4 exons.
GCCAUCAGUACAGGAUGCGGCUGCCCCCGUACCGGCGUGGCCAAAUGGCGUCGCAACAGGAAAAAGGAAUCUGCCUACCCGGCUCGACCUCUCGGGCACCUGCUACUCUCGGACAGAUUCCCUCUUCCCUCGGGUGCUUUGCUCUGCGCGGCAGAGAGAUCGAACCAGUGGCGGCGGCACAGGCGCUGGGAGAUGCAUUCGAGUUCCUAUCAGAUCUGGUUAACAGAUUCCCUCUUCCCACGUUGGGUGGUGAAUACACGCGGCCGGCGCAGCCGGUUGCAGAUCCGGUGGACGCAGUAGCCGAGUCCAGCAUUGCUGAUGUUGGUGAUGCCUCGCCGGCGCGGCAGCCAGACCUGAACGACGCUUGCGCGUCCAGCAACUUGUUCGCACCGGAUUCAAAACAGUCAAUGUGCAGGGACGACCCGCAGGCACCGUUCUGGACGAAGAGGUGUUUUAUCAUAAUUGCCACACGCAUGUCAAGUCAUAUACUCGUGCCGCCGUUUUGUGUGCACAGGGAGAACAUCACUACCGACUCCGUCAGUGUGAGGCCUACUUCAAGUCAACUGUAAAAGGCGCCCAACAGUGAGUGCCCUUCCGCCUCGCUUCGGUCCUCGACGGUGUGUGCUUGCAUUUUUUUUCUGAAAGGAAAAAUGCAUUCAAGGGAUGAGGGCAUACCACAGAUAUGGUGGCAUCUCCAUUCAACAUCUUCAAGGUCCAUUGGUUAUCGUGCCACAACUGUGUCAUACGUUUAGUAAUUUCAAAUUAUUUUCACUAUUGAACCGGGGUAAGAUCUGCUUGUACCAAACCCGGCCCAGCAAAGAAAUUUAUUAGGUUGGCGAGAUUUUUUUUUUUUGAGGAAUGAGGGCUCUAUAAAUUAAACAUGUGAAACUGCAUUUCGUGGGAUUUCCUUUAUGACAUGCUUAGUGCUCUUGCCGGCACGCCCUUGCGGUUGUCCUCGCGGUCACCACGAUGAAGGUUUCUGGGCGCCAACCGUAGCCUCCCAUUGUGUGCGCAGUUGAAGGCUUGGUUGGGUGCGCGUGGCAUCAUCUGCGUCGGCCUCCCGCUAUGCAAUAACAGAGAUAAGCCUGGUGUUGCUUUGCAUUUGGUGGAUAUUAUUGGAUCCGACUUAGGAUUUGUUUUUGUGUAUUUGCAUGUGGACUAUCCCAAAAAAAUAUGAAACGCGGAAGGGUGAGGUUAAGUGUUGCGUGUAAAUCUCAAUCAGAAGUACAUA